RNAcentral lists this unclassified non-coding RNA (210 nucleotides) under uncultured fungus. RNAcentral describes it as "sequence contains ITS1, 5.8S rRNA gene". The record is from RNAcentral. Lineage: Eukaryota; Fungi.
CCAAUUACCAGCUCAGGCUUGGGUCACGCCCGGUCAGAGUGCAAACCCUCUGUGAACCAGAAAACAAAACCAUUCGCUUCCGCGGUUGGGUGGGUGCCCGCUCCUUCGUUGGACGGGUCACCCGUAAUCCCGCGGUUAGCACCAAAGUUUAACCUGUUCCUGUCCAAUCCGGUCUGAAUUGUCGUUUGACAAAAAACGAAUGAAAAGUUA